This 567-nucleotide long non-coding RNA is filed under the name Bos taurus (domestic cattle). Its description in RNAcentral is "long non-coding RNA NONBTAT024435". Lineage: Eukaryota; Metazoa; Chordata; Mammalia; Artiodactyla; Bovidae. The record is from RNAcentral.
AUAAACCAGGCGAAUUGUGUCAUCAUGGAAAGGAAAAGCUCACUGGAAUUUGUGGAAUUCUCAGGAGUGGGCUUUAUGCUUCUACAAUCCAUUGACUGGGGAUCUGAGUCCUUUUUAAGAGGGUGCAAAAGUCCCAGUGAGCACUAAUGGUUAUAUUGGGAUGGGCUGGGACGGAUAGGACUACAGUGUCCACUCUGUCUGGAGAGAGCUUCGUGAUUCUCUGCGUCCCUUUUCCAUAGUUUCCUUGGAGACCAGCAGGGCUGGAGCCCAGCAUGAGUGCACUGUCCUUGUGGAGACAUUGACUUCUGCUGUCAGCGCCACCUUCAGUGGUCAGCUUACAUUCUCUGCCAUUUUAUUACAUUCUCAGUAAUACCUAUAGCCUUUACCAUUGAGUUGGGUGGAUCAGGCCACAUCAGGAGUUAGUAGUUCUUAAUUACCAACUAUAUUGGAAAAGGGGUAUUUUAAACUUGAGAUGGAGCUGAACAUUUAAAAAUGUCCAGAGAAAAAUAAUUUAUUUUUAUGGUUUACAUAAACUUUGAGCCACAUAAUUAAAAAUACAUACAAGUU